UCCGUAGGUGAACCUGCGGAGGGAUCAUUACUGAGUUACCGCUCUAUAACCCUUUGUGAACAUACCUAACCGUUGCUUCGGCGGGCAGGGGAAGCCUCUCGCGGGCCUCCCCUCCCGGCGCCGGCCCCACCACGGGGACGGGGCGCCCGCCGGAGGAAACCAAACUCUAUUUACACGACGUCUCUUCUGAGUGGCACAAGCAAAUAAUUAAAACUUUUAACAACGGAUCUCUUGGUUCUGGCAUCGAUGAAGAACGCAGCGAAAUGCGAUAAGUAAUGUGAAUUGCAGAAUUCAGUGAAUCAUCGAAUCUUUGAACGCACAUUGCGCUCGCCAGCAUUCUGGCGAGCAUGCCUGUUCGAGCGUCAUUUCAACCCUCAAGCACCGCUUGGUUUUGGGGCCCCACGGCACACGUGGGCCCUUAAAGGUAGUGGCGGACCCUCCCGGAGCCUCCUUUGCGUAGUAACUAACGUCUCGCACUGGGAUCCGGAGGGACUCUUGCCGUAAAACCCCCAAACUUUUUACAGGUUGACCUCGGAUCAGGUAGGAAUACCCGCUGAACUUAAGCAUAUCAAUAAGCGGAGGAA
This 584-nucleotide ribosomal RNA is filed under the name Colletotrichum sp. AN035a. RNAcentral's name for it is "eukaryotic LSU rRNA". The stretch from base 212 to 365 matches the Rfam family "5.8S ribosomal RNA". Lineage: Eukaryota; Fungi; Ascomycota; Sordariomycetes; Glomerellales; Glomerellaceae. The record is from RNAcentral.